UACGGAGGGUGCAAGCGUUAUCCGGAUUUAUUGGGUUUAAAGGGUCCGUAGGCGGGCUGAUAAGUCAGUGGUGAAAUCCUGCAGCUUAACUGUAGAGCUGCCAUUGAUACUGUUAGUCUUGAGUAUAUUUGAAGUAGCUGGAAUAAGUAGUGUAGCGGUGAAAUGCAUAGAUAUUACUUAGAACACCAAUUGCGAAGGCAGGUUACUAAGAUAAGACUGACGCUGAGGGACGAAAGCGUGGGGAGCGAACAGGAUUAGAUACCCUGGUAGUCCACGCUGUAAACGGUGCUGACUCGUUUUUGGUUUUUAGGGAUCAGAGACUAAGCGAAAGUGAUAAGUCAGCCACCUGGGGAGUACGACCGCAAGGUUGAAACUCAAAGGAAUUGACGGGGGCCCGCACAAGCGGUGGAUUAUGUGGUUUAAUUCGAUGAUACGCGAGGAACCUUACCAAGACUUAAAUGGGAAUUGACAGCUGUAGAAAUACGGUUUUCUUCGGACAAUUUUCAAGGUGCUGCAUGGUUGUCGUCAGCUCGUGCCGUGAGGUGUUAGGUUAAGUCCUGCAACGAGCGCAACCCCUGUCACUAGUUGCCAUCAUUCAGUUGGGGACUCUAGUGAGACUGCCUGCGCAAGCAGAGAGGAAGGUGGGGAUGACGUCAAAUCAUCACGG
RNAcentral lists this ribosomal RNA (667 nucleotides) under uncultured human oral bacterium A63. Its description in RNAcentral is "bacterial SSU rRNA". It matches the Rfam family "Bacterial small subunit ribosomal RNA", at positions 524 to 1198 of the family's 1533-position model. The record is from RNAcentral.